ACGAACGCUGGCGGCGUGCUUAACACAUGCAAGUCGAACGGAAAGGCCUCUUUCGGGGGGUACUCGAGUGGCGAACGGGUGAGUAACACGUGAGUAACCUGCCCUUGACUUUGGGAUAACUUCAGGAAACUGGGGCUAAUACCGGAUAGGAGCUCCUGCUGCAUGGUGGGGGUUGGAAAGUUUCGGCGGUUGGGGAUGGACUCGCGGCUUAUCAGCUUGUUGGUGGGGUAGUGGCUUACCAAGGCUUUGACGGGUAGCCGGCCUGAGAGGGUGACCGGCCACAUUGGGACUGAGAUACGGCCCAGACUCCUACGGGAGGCAGCAGUGGGGAAUAUUGCACAAUGGGUGGAAGCCUGAUGCAGCAACGCCGGGUGCGGGAUGACGGCCUUCGGGUUGUAAACCGCUUUCGCUCAUGACGAAGCUUUGUGUGACGGUAGUGGGUAAAGAAGCACCGGCUAACUACGUG
This 466-nucleotide ribosomal RNA is filed under the name uncultured bacterium. RNAcentral describes it as "partial 16S ribosomal RNA". It matches the Rfam family "Bacterial small subunit ribosomal RNA", at positions 29 to 507 of the family's 1533-position model. The record is from RNAcentral.